CGGGCGCUAGUGGCGGACGGGUGAGUAACGCGUGGGAACAUGCCCUUUGGUACGGGAUAGCCUCGGGAAACUGGGUGUAAUACCGUAUGUGGUCUUCGGACGAAAGAUUUAUCGCCAAAGGAUUGGCCCGCGUUGGAUUAGGUAGUUGGUGGGGUAAUGGCCUACCAAGCCGACGAUCCAUAGCUGGUUUGAGAGGAUGAUCAGCCACACUGGGACUGAGACACGGCCCAGACUCCUACGGGAGGCAGCAGUGGGGAAUCUUAGACAAUGGGGACAACCCUGAUCUAGCCAUGCCGCGUGAUCGAUGAAGGCCUUAGGGUUGUAAAGAUCUUUCAGUGGGGAAGAUAAUGACGGUACCCACAGAAGAAGCCCCGGCUAACUCCGUGCCAGCAGCCGCGGUAAUACGGAGGGGGCUAGCGUUAUUCGGAAUUACUGGGCGUAAAGCGCACGUAGGCGGAUUGACAAGUCAGAGGUGAAAUCCCGGGGCUCAACCCCGGAACGGCCUUUGAAACUGUUUGUCUUGAGGUCGAGAGAGGUGAGUGGAAUUCCGAGUGUAGAGGUGAAAUUCGUAGAUAUUCGGAGGAACACCAGUGGCGAAGGCGGCUCACUG
Molecule: ribosomal RNA, 610 nt
Filed under: uncultured Rhodobacter sp.
Lineage: Bacteria; Pseudomonadati; Pseudomonadota; Alphaproteobacteria; Rhodobacterales
Description: bacterial SSU rRNA
Rfam family: Bacterial small subunit ribosomal RNA
Source: RNAcentral